GACGAACGCUGGCGGCAUGCCUAAUACAUGCAAGUCGAGCGAACAGAUGAAGUGCUUGCACUUCUGACGUUAGCGGCGAACGGGUGAGUAACACGUAAGGAAUCUACCUAUAAGCGGGGGAUAACAUUCGGAAACGGGUGCUAAUACCGCAUAAUAUCUUCUUCCGCAUGGAAGAAGAUUGAAAGACGGCUCUGCUGUCACUUAUAGAUGACCUUGCGGUGCAUUAGUUAGUUGGUGGGGUAACGGCCUACCAAGACGAUGAUGCAUAGCCGACCUGAGAGGGUGAUCGGCCACAUUGGGACGGAGACACAGCCCAAACUCCUACGGGAGGCAGCAGUAGGGAAUCUUCCGAAAUGGGCGAAAGCCUGACGGAGCAAUGCCGCGUGAGUGAAGAAGGCCUUCGGGUCGUAAAACUCUGUUAUAAGAGAAGAACAAAUUGUAGAGUAACUGCUACAGUCUUGACGGUAUCUUAUCAGAAAGCCACGGCUAACUACGUGCCAGCAGCCGCCGUAA
This 513-nucleotide ribosomal RNA is filed under the name uncultured bacterium. RNAcentral's name for it is "partial 16S ribosomal RNA". It matches the Rfam family "Bacterial small subunit ribosomal RNA", at positions 28 to 523 of the family's 1533-position model. The record is from RNAcentral.